CAGCCGCCGCGGGAAUACGUAGGGUGCGAGCGUUAAUCGGAAUUACUGGGCGUAAAGCGUGCGCAGGCGGUUUUGUAAGACAGAGGUGAAAUCCCCGGGCUCAACCUGGGAACUGCCUUUGUGACUGCAAGGCUAGAGUACGGCAGAGGGGGAUGGAAUUCCGCGUGUAGCAGUGAAAUGCGUAGAUAUGCGGAGGAACACCGAUGGCGAAGGCAAUCCCCUGGGCCUGUACUGACGCUCAUGCACGAAAGCGUGGGGAGCAAACAGGAUUAGAUACCCCGGUAGUCCCUGUCUCUUAUAC
RNAcentral lists this ribosomal RNA (301 nucleotides) under uncultured bacterium. RNAcentral's name for it is "partial 16S ribosomal RNA". It matches the Rfam family "Bacterial small subunit ribosomal RNA", at positions 509 to 807 of the family's 1533-position model. The record is from RNAcentral.